Molecule: ribosomal RNA, 460 nt
Filed under: uncultured bacterium
Lineage: Bacteria
Description: partial 16S ribosomal RNA
Rfam family: Bacterial small subunit ribosomal RNA
Source: RNAcentral
CCUACGGGAGGCAGCAGUGGGGAAUCUUGCACAAUGGCCGUAACGCUGAUCCAGCGACGCCGCGUGAGGGAAGAAGGAUCUAUUGUUUGUAAACUUCUUUUAUAGGGGAAUAAAGGUAUCCACGUGUAGAUCUUUGCCUGUACCCUAUGAAUAAGCAUCGGCUAACUCCGUGACAGCAGCCGCGGUAAUACGGAGGAUGCGAGCGUUAGCCGGAUUUAUUGGGGUUAAAGGGUGCGUAGUUUGUGUUUUAAGCCAGCGGUGAAAGGUGGUGGCUCAACCAGAAAAUUGCAGUUGAAACUGGAAGAAUAGAGUGUGGGUGAGGUAGGCGGAAUGCGUGGUGUAGCGGUGAAAUGCAUAGAUAUCACGCGGAACUCUGAUGGCGAAGGCAGCUUACUAGGCCAUAACUGACACUGAAGCACGAAAGCGUGGGGAUCAAACAGGAUUAGAUACCCCUGUAGUC